Molecule: ribosomal RNA, 546 nt
Filed under: uncultured bacterium
Lineage: Bacteria
Description: bacterial SSU rRNA
Rfam family: Bacterial small subunit ribosomal RNA
Source: RNAcentral
GGGGAAUAUUGCGCAAUGGGGGCAACCCUGACGCAGCCAUGCCGCGUGAAUGAAGAAGGCCUUCGGGUUGUAAAGUUCUUUCGGUAGCGAGGAAGGCACUUAGUUUAAUAAACUAGGUGAUUGACGUUAACUACAGAAGAAGCACCGGCUAACUCCGUGCCAGCAGCCGCGGUAAUACGGAGGGUGCGAGCGCUAAUCGGAAUAACUGGGCGUAAAGGGCACGCAGGCGGUGACUUAAGUGAGGUGUGAAAGCCCCGGGCUUAACCUGGGAAUUGCAUUUCAUACUGGGUCGCUAGAGUACUUUAGGGAGGGGUAGAAUUCCACGUGUAGCGGUGAAAUGCGUAGAGAUGUGGAGGAAUACCGAAGGCGAAGGCAGCCCCUUGGGAAUGUACUGACGCUCAUGUGCGAAAGCGUGGGGAGCAAACAGGAUUAGAUACCCUGGUAGUCCACGCUGUAAACGAUGUCGAUUUGGGGGUUGAACUUUGAGUUUGGCGCCCGUAGCUAACGUGAUAAAUCGACCGCCUGGGGAGUACGGCCGCAAGGUUA